AAGAUGCCCUGGUGAGUGAACUCUGUUAUCCGCAGAGAACAGGUAUAACACAUCAUCAAUAGCACUACAAGCUUCCUCCAGGCCACCCUACCAGCAGGCCUCAACCCUGCCGUGGGGGAACCACUGGUAGAGGGGAGAGAGUAAAUCAGUCUCCAGGCCCAUUCAGCCUUUAGGCUCCC
RNAcentral lists this small RNA (179 nucleotides) under Gopherus agassizii (Agassiz's desert tortoise). RNAcentral describes it as "TUC338 (ENSGAGG00000001021.1)". Lineage: Eukaryota; Metazoa; Chordata; Testudines; Testudinidae. The record is from RNAcentral.